AUCCAACUGACGAGUCCCAAAUAGCACGAAACGAGCGUCAAACUGGAU
This 48-nucleotide non-coding RNA is filed under the name Schistosoma mansoni. The record is from RNAcentral. Lineage: Eukaryota; Metazoa; Platyhelminthes; Trematoda; Strigeidida; Schistosomatidae.